CUGCGCCACGAGUGGCAACCACUUUUAUUGGGCCUAAAGCGUCCGUAGCCGGUUUUGUAAAUUCUUUGUGAAAUCGUCAAGCCUAACUUGACGGUGUGCAGAGAAAACUGCAAGACUAGGGACCGGGAGGAGUCAGAGGUAUUUUUGGGGGAGCGGUAAAAUGCUAUAAUCCCAAAAGGACCACCUGUGGCGAAGGCGUCUGACUAGAACGGAUCCGACGGUGAGGGACGAAAGCCAGGGGAGCGAUCCGGAUUAGAGACCCGAGUAGUCC
RNAcentral lists this ribosomal RNA (271 nucleotides) under uncultured archaeon. RNAcentral describes it as "partial 16S ribosomal RNA". It matches the Rfam family "Archaeal small subunit ribosomal RNA", at positions 477 to 747 of the family's 1478-position model. The record is from RNAcentral.